This 5229-nucleotide long non-coding RNA is filed under the name Sus scrofa (pig). RNAcentral describes it as "lncRNA (ENSSSCG00005036598.1)". Lineage: Eukaryota; Metazoa; Chordata; Mammalia; Artiodactyla; Suidae. The record is from RNAcentral.
CUUUUUUUUCUUUUUCUUUUUUUUGCUUUUUUAGGGCUGCAGGUGCAGCAAAUAGAAGUUCCCAGGCUAGGGGUCAAAUUGGAGCUAUAGCUGCCAGCCUACAGCCAUAGCAAUGCAAGAUCCGAGCCAUAUCUGCAACCUACACCACAGCUCACAGCAAUGCUGGAUCCUUAACCCAUGGAGCAUCCUUAUGGAUCCUAGUCGGGUUUGUUACCGCGGAGCCAUGAUGGGAACUCCUGGUCCAUUCUUACAUCUUAGAAGCUGACUGCUGAAUCUCCAAAGACGAAUUUAUGAUCCUUUCUCAGGACAGGUGUAUUCAUCAGUAUUCUCCUUAGAGUUUGUUAUAUUUGCACAUCCUUCAUCUAAAGUUGCACUGCAUCUCUCCAAGAUGCAAGAUCAAGGGGACAACUGUACGAUGGUGGUCCAUGUAAUGUCCCCAGAAACCAAGCUUAGACCCUCUCUUGCUGUCUUCUCUGCCAUUGGUUUCAAGCACUUAUCAGUUUGGCCAUUCACGUUCUCCGUUUCCUUCCAUCAUCUGACCUGUCAUUUUCACUCUCAUCUCUGCAAUGCUAGGGCAAGAAAUACCCUGUUGGGUGUAAAUUGUGUUGUUUUUUUUAAAUAUGAAUCAAAAGUAAACAUUUUUAGAGUCAAGAAAUUUCACAGGAAAAUCUAGACUUUCAAGUUCUCGUAAAAAGCAAAGAUCUGGCAACCUUGAACCCAUGUUCCUACAUAAACACAACCAGCUGGCCAAGUAGCAGCAUCUUCUUCGGGCAGGGCAGGGGCUCCCCAUGCCUCCCCACCCUCAGGCUGGGGCCCAUUGCAUUGCCUCACCCUGGCUGGUAGAUGCCCGCCUGGACCCAAGGCCAUCUUCAUCCUCUGCCCUUGCUCUGAGCCCCGCCUUCGUCCAGCUGGGCUCUCCGGGGCUCUAGUGUGUUGAGUCCAUGUGACGGGCUAAGCCUUUUAUGCUCUUACUGCACUUGGUCCCACCCACCCUUCAAGGCUGGCGCUAUGGGAGGUCAAAAGCCUUUCCCACGAUAGCUCAGCUGGUGAGGGGCUGACCCAGGGGGUCUGAAUCCAGCCCUGCAACCACCUGUCUGCGCUGCUUUCCUGCUGCACCCCCUCCCCCAGGCACACCCCCCAAUGGCUCACACGGGACCAAAGACUCCUCUUCCACCACUGUUCCAAGGAAGUUCCUCUCCCAGAGCCAGGACUGGAACCAGGAAAGUGCAUGCCAACAUAGCAGGCAACACAGCCGGCUAGUCAGGUUUUUUUCUUUCGUUUUUUGUUUGUUUGUUUGUUUGUUUUUCAUUCUGAGAAUAUGGAGGAAGAGAACAGAUAUAAACUUUUAACCCAGCACAGUACAUGUCUUCCAAGAGAUGUACAUUUCACAGAGAGUGAAAUGGAAAGAGAGAUAAGGCAAAUUCACACCUGCUAGACACCCAUCUAGUGCUGGCUUCGCUCCACGCCUUCCUAUCUGCCUCCCUCCUUAGCAGAACCACAGGCUGGCAUUAUGAUGUGGAUGCUGAGGUUCAGAGAGGUAAAGUGACUUGCCCGAAACCACACAGCGAGCAAGUGGUGGAACUGGAAUCCAAACCUGUGUCUUUCUAACGCCAACUCACUCUGUGGCUGCUUCCCAAGAUCCUUCAAAGUCAGAUUUGUGACUUCUCUCCUUUCAGUCAUCCCAGAAGAGGCCCAGGACAGUAAGGUGGGGAGAGGAUGAGGUUCAAGUUGAGAGGUUCAAGUUAGCUAGAAGCCAGAGAUGUGCAUGUUCCACUCUUGGGUUUUAGGUGCCCAGGAGAGCCUUCUACUGAACCAGGGCACUGCUAUAAGGGUGUCUUGGCCAAAAGGAAAAACAGACCCACGUGCAAAGGUCUUACUCCAGGCACAACUUUCUCCAGGAGCUGAUGGCAACAAAAUUGGAGCACCAUGAAAUUCCCCUACUCCAGAGUACGUCUCUGUUUAUUUUUAAGCAUCUGUCCCUCCAGCUACACAUCCUCCACCACUGUCCUUCCAACCUCCUGUCCAUCCAUAUCCCAUCCUUCCACCUAGCCAUCCACCCAUCCGUCUCUACACUAAUCAUUCAGACAUCCAUCUAUCCAUCAUCUAUCCACCCACCCAACCAUUCAUCCAUCCAUCCAUCUGUUCAUCUACCCAUCCAUCCAUUCAUCUAUCCAUCCAUCACCCAUCCACUCUCUCCACAUCCUCCCAUCCAUCACCUACUCAUCUAUCUCAUCUACCUAUCCAUCCAUCAUCAUCUAUCCACCCAUUUAUCCAUCAUCCAUCAUCACCCAUCUAUUCAUCCAUCAUCAUCCAUCAUCAUCCAUCCAGCAUUUAAGACCUACUGUGUGUGAGGCAUUCUACAGGGACUUAGAUAAAGAACAAGCUGGACACUGAUCCUAUGGUCACAAGUCUACAGCUUCAUCUGUAUAACAGACUUUCAACUACGAAGUACCCAAACAAUUCAAUGACAGUUUUGGUGAGUGCUACAAAGGCACUUUAAAUAAGCUAAAAGAGCCGCUGCCAGAAGGCACCCCCACUGGGUUUGAGGGAGGUGGGAGGGCAUCAAAGAAUGCAGGCAGCACCUAACACAGGACUGAGCUGAGAGCCUGGGGUAUGAGGCACAACGGUGUGAGUUUGGAUCCCAACUCUGAACUGUCCGCUCUGUGGGUCCACAGCCUCCCCUCCCGGGGCUUCAGGUUCCUCCCAUUCAAAACGGAGAUAAUAACCAGGGGAGGAGUUCCUUUUGUGGCUCAGUGGGUAACAAACCCAACUACGAACCAUGAGGAUGUGGGUUCGAUCCCGGGAUAUGAGUUGAGUUCAUUACUGCUGAGCCACGAUGGGAACUCCAACUCACCUUUUUUCCACCCAGGCUCCCACACACCCCCUCCAACCAGCACUGGCUCCUGGGACCUCGCCCUGGGCCCUAUUAACUGGGCCCCCGCAGCCUCUGGACCAAAGAGCUCACCAAGCAAGAUGUAGCCAUCAGCUCUGCCCGGGUCAGAAAAAGGAAACAGAAAAACGAAAGUGAUUGGAAUCUCUAUUUCCUAUGAGCAAACAGCUGCUCUGUGCUAAUAUCCUCCUGGAAUAAACGGUUAUUAGUUAAUUUAAAAAACCACAGAAACCAAUUAUUAACAAAUUUGUAGGCUUAUUUUUAGCCACGAGAAUUACUGAUCAGUUGCCCUCUCUGCCUGUUCAUCUGCUCCAGGAAUUUCCAACAGGGCAAGGCCAUGUAACCUAACCAGUAUGCUUCGCUGGUGUUGCCUAUUUGGGGAGUUUUUCCCCACAAUUUUACUUUUUCUUAUGGGUAUGUGGGAAAAGGAACAAGAAAGCGUUGCUGGGGGUCAUGGACUUAAAGUAAAACCAGUGAUUCCUUUGCAUCCACUGUGAGAAAAAGUCUGUUCUGGAGCUGAAGACAGAAAGUGGACAAGACCUAUCUUUAUAGAGGAAAAAGAUACAAAUAUGUUUAACAGAAAGUGGAAAGAGCUGGAAAAAUACGAGAGGAAAGUCAUCCCAUUAAAAUAUCAAGGCUGGCGUUCCCUGCUGGCCUAGCAGUCAAGGACCCAGCAUUGCCACUGCCGUGGCGUGGGUUCUAUCCCUGGCCCAGGAACUUCCGCAUGCUGCAGGCAUGGCCCAGAAAUCAAAUAAGAUGUCAACACUAUUUGCAACAAGGAUAUUAAGGAAAAGACAGGUACCAUCAGAUUCCAGGGGAGACACACAGAGCCCUCAUACCUUCCACCCAGAGCCCCUGUCCAGGAGAAAAUAGGGCUUAGUUUGUUCCAUGUUGGGUGUUAGUAAAAGUUCCCCGUUACCCUUCCCACUGAAAAGAUGAGAUAAAUUAAUAAAUUAUCCCCGAAUCUUUCGUUAUUUGACAUUAAGGUGGAAGCAGCUCGUUGCAAGAGUUGAGGGGGAAAGGAGUGGAAGGACAGGUGGCUGUCAGCCUCACCAGCCACACGCCCACCGUCCCGAGCCCAAAGCCGACAUCAAGGAGCCCGGGGACUGCAGUCAGCUCAGGGCGGCCACAGCCUCAUGUCCCAGCUUUGUCCUUGACCUCUGACUUGGGUCAACUAUACCACCCCUGCAUUCUGGCUUCCCCAGCUCAGCUCCCCGACUAGGAAGAGGAGCCCCCAGGGCACCAGCCACCCCUCGAACCAGCUUCAGAGCUAUGCAGGGGUAGGGUGGGAGAGUGCUACAGGGCUGCCCGAUUUCCCCCAGCAGGAGUGACCUCAGGCCAGAAGGGACCUUUCUUUCAAUAUCACAAGGCACCAGUGGGAACCAUGGACUUCUGGGAGCCUCAAACUGAAGCAGGACUGCCCACUGCCAUCAGCCGAAAUGUUCAGAGGCCCCCAAGAGGCCAUAAUGACAGGCGGGGGCGCACAUCAGCUCCUGGGGACUGGGGUCUCCCUGGGUUCCAGGCACCUUGCUAAACGUUUUACAGAAACCAGCCCCUCAAAUCCUCCCACCACCCUUCCAGGCAGGGACAUUGUUCGGUCGGCGGGAACCACGGGUCAGAGAUGUUCAGCGGAGCCAGAAAAGCCUGCAGAUUCAGGUGACACCAAAGAGUCCAUGCACCUGCCAGCUCCCCUCAAGAUCUUGUCUGUUGGCCUCCCACGGUCAAGGCCUCACCAUGGUAGAGGCAGCAGGAGAUUCUAGUGUGAAUGUGACCAAGCCCCUCACCCCCAGGAGCUUGGUCUAUGAAGGGAAAAAAGCCUUGACCAUAAACUGGCCAUGUACCCACUCUAAUAGAACUGGGCAGAAACGAGGGCCCCAGACCUAACAGUCUCCGUGCAUGUCCCCCACAGCCAUGGGACACCAUCACUGGGUCCAGGAAGAUGAGGACCCACGUGGAGAAGAGCCACCUGGCUGAGCCCAGCCUAGAUGGCGGACCUGCCCACCUGCAGAGAGCAGAGGAGAGGGCGCUCGGGGCGGUGGCAUGGGGGUCCAGAAGCCGCCUUUGCAGCAGCAGAGGACAAACUGGAUGCCACACAGAAGGAGGCCCAUGCGGCAGGCCUGGUACUUAUCAUAUACGCGUGCUGUCUCUUCACUGGUCCAAGUGGUGUAAGCCGCCAGCUUCCGGGACAGGCAAUCGUCUUCACAUCACCCCACGCCAUGCUCCCUACGAAGCCAAGAUGAUGACAUAGGACCGCACUCCCCCCUUUUGCCGAAAUCCACAGCCGCACCCAUGUCUCCUCAAUGGAGAACCACUGCUGCUUUAUCGGUGUUGUAAGCCCA